Molecule: ribosomal RNA, 252 nt
Filed under: uncultured bacterium
Lineage: Bacteria
Description: partial 16S ribosomal RNA
Rfam family: Bacterial small subunit ribosomal RNA
Source: RNAcentral
GACGAACCGUGCGAACGUUGUUCGGAUUCACUGGGCUUAAAGGGCGCGUAGGCGGACCCAAAAGUCCGGGGUGAAAUCUUUCGGCUUAACCGGAAAAUCGCCUUGGAUACUGUGGGUCUCGAGGGAGGUAGGGGCAUGCGGAACUUCCGGUGGAGCGGUGAAAUGCGUUGAUAUCGGAAGGAACUCCGGUGGCGAAAGCGGCGUGCUGGAUCUCUUCUGACGCUGAGGCGCGAAAGCCAGGGGAGCAACGGG